This 378-nucleotide RNase P RNA is filed under the name Chloroflexota bacterium. Its description in RNAcentral is "Chloroflexi bacterium RNase P RNA component class A". It matches the Rfam family "Bacterial RNase P class A". From Rfam's summary of the family: Ribonuclease P (RNase P) is a ubiquitous endoribonuclease, found in archaea, bacteria and eukarya as well as chloroplasts and mitochondria. Its best characterised activity is the generation of mature 5'-ends of tRNAs by cleaving the 5'-leader elements of precursor-tRNAs. Cellular RNase Ps are ribonucleoproteins. Lineage: Bacteria; Bacillati; Chloroflexota. The record is from RNAcentral.
CAGGGAGGUCAGGUGAUCGCGGAUGGACAGGUUCCAUCUGAGGAAAGUCCGCUCUCCAUAGAGCGCGGUGCUGGCUAACCGCCAGGCGGGGUAACCCGACGGAAAGUGCAGCAGAGAAGAGUAUUGCGUGAUGGGCGCGAGUCCAUGAGCGUGAGGGUGAAACGGCGGUGUAAGAGACCACCAGCGCGAGCGGUGACGUUCGCGGCUUGGCAAACCCCACCGGGAGCAAGGCAAACAGGCGCAUUGGGGCUGCUCGUCCCGCAAAAAGCGCCGGGUACGCUGCAUGAGGGGCGGGGCAAUUCGCCUCCCAGAGAGAUGAUCACCCCUUUCGCCUGCGGGUGAAAGCGACAGAAAGCGGCUUAUCGAUCCCCCUGGACG